GAUGAACGCUAGCGGCAGGCCUAACACAUGCAAGUCGAGGGGCAGCACAGAAACAGCAAUGUUUUGGUGGCGACCGGCGGACGGGUGCGUAACGCGUAUGCAACCUACCUUUAACAGGGGGAUAACGGAGAGAAAUUUCCACUAAUACCCCAUAACAUCGAUCAAGGCAUCUUGAUUGGUUGAAAACUCCGGUGGUUAAUGAUGGGCAUGCGUUGUAUUAGGUAGUUGGUGAGGUAAUGGCUCACCAAGCCUACGAUACAUAGGGGGACUGCGAGGGUAGCCCCCCACGCUGGUACUGAGACGCGGACCAGACUCCUACGGGAGGCAGCAGUGAGGAAUAUUGGUCAAUGGGGGCAACCCUGAACCAGCCAUGCCACGUUCAGGAAGACGGCUCUAUGAGUUGUAAACUGCUUUUAAACAGGGAUAAAGCACAGUAUGUAUACUGUGUUGAAGGUACUGUAAGAAUAAGGAUCGGCUAACUCCGUGCCAGCCGCCGCAGUAA
This 502-nucleotide ribosomal RNA is filed under the name uncultured bacterium. Its description in RNAcentral is "partial 16S ribosomal RNA". It matches the Rfam family "Bacterial small subunit ribosomal RNA", at positions 28 to 523 of the family's 1533-position model. The record is from RNAcentral.